GACGUAGGGCGCGAGCGUUGUCCGGAUUUAUUGGGCGUAAAGAGUUCGUAGGCGGCUUGUUGCGUCGACCGUGAAAACCCGGGGCUCAACUUCGGGCUUGCGGUCGAUACGGGCGGGCUAGAGUUCGGUAGGGGAGACUGGAAUUCCUGGUGUAGCGGUGAAAUGCGCAGAUAUCAGGAGGAACACCGGUGGCGAAGGCGGGUCUCUGGGCCGAUACUGACGCUGAGGAGCGAAAGCAUGGGGAGCGGACAGG
This 253-nucleotide ribosomal RNA is filed under the name uncultured bacterium. Its description in RNAcentral is "partial 16S ribosomal RNA". It matches the Rfam family "Bacterial small subunit ribosomal RNA", at positions 524 to 776 of the family's 1533-position model. The record is from RNAcentral.